RNAcentral lists this non-coding RNA (30 nucleotides) under Rattus norvegicus (Norway rat). Lineage: Eukaryota; Metazoa; Chordata; Mammalia; Rodentia; Muridae. The record is from RNAcentral.
UAGCAAGGGANUCAAGGGUUCAGGCACAGC